RNAcentral lists this long non-coding RNA (1115 nucleotides) under Mastacembelus armatus (zig-zag eel). RNAcentral's name for it is "lncRNA (ENSMAMG00000026402.1)". Lineage: Eukaryota; Metazoa; Chordata; Actinopteri; Synbranchiformes; Mastacembelidae. The record is from RNAcentral.
AUGGAUGUAGGUUAUUGUAGCAGAUAUCUAACACUGUUAUCUGUUUUAUAUCAGGGCACAAGAGGCCUCAUGUUGAUCAUGUGGGUGAGUAAGUGUCUUCUGAUGUAAAUCUGCCACAGUGAUUCCAUCUUCCUGUUUGACCUGUUUUCUGUUUUAUUGGAUGAAUAAUGUCCAGUUAAGGUCCACACAGUCUGUACAGGGGAAACCUUUGGUUCUCAUAAAGUUCUGAUGGACCAAGUGAAACAGAAUAAGAAGCUUCAGGUGGAGGAGACAAACCAGCCUGGAUGUGACGUCAUUAUGCUUUUCUGUCCAAUCGUCUCUCGUGCUGGUUCAGAUGUGGAAGCAGCCAUGACUGAGGUUCCAGCUGAUGGAAAAGUCAUUCUGGUGCUGAUGCAUCACACCAGAGACCCAGACUACUCCACCUGUGGGAUGAUAUGGACUGACAGGUUUCCAAACAUCAUCUCAGCUGUUCAUGUUCUCUACCAUGAGACUGUGCCAGGAUUACUGCAGUGUGCACACAACAAGGAGGCUGUCCGUCAUCUACAGAAGGUCCUGAAAGACAGAAGCAGACAGAGAGGGAAUCUGGGUCUUGUGUAGUGAGUUAGUCAAUUAUUCAGAGCUAGGUGGUAGGUGGUCUUUCCUCUGACUAGUUAGUUCAGUUUCAGUGAGUUAGUUAGUCAGAGCUGUGAGAGACAGGAGCUGUGUCUUCAACAGGUUGAGAAUAAAGUGUAACCAGAUCAGUGCUUGUUUCCAUGUUCACCAUAUUCCUCAUUAGAAUAAAUCUAUGGAUCAUGUAGCUCAGUGUCUCAGUUAAAAUGUGUUGGAAUAAAAUGUGUCACUUUCCUGCCAAUGUCACCACCUGGAAUAUUUUUAUUUCUACUGGAUUUUGCUCAUUUUCCUGAUUUAGUUUGUUUCCUUCAUGGAAACACUCGAGUUAUUGAUGUUAUGGAAACCUCAUCAUAUCUGAUCACCUCUUGUACAACUCUUGUUUCCCCUUGUCUGUUGUGUCUGUGUCAGUCUUCACCCACACACACUAUCCAUCUUUGUAUUUUAUCCAAAUAAAUUGUCAGUCAAAUCCACAGAACUUUAUUUCAAAAUAAAGCAGAGAUGUGCAG